AUCUGUAGUCAUACCACUUGGAACACAACUAAUCUCAUCUGGUCUUAGAAGAUAAGCAGGAUCGGGCCUGGUUAGUACUCAAAUGGGAAAGACAAACAAACAAACCACCUCUCUAUUCCUGUAGAUUACACAUG
Molecule: ribosomal RNA, 134 nt
Filed under: Mesocricetus auratus (golden hamster)
Lineage: Eukaryota; Metazoa; Chordata; Mammalia; Rodentia; Cricetidae
Source: RNAcentral